RNAcentral lists this ribosomal RNA (496 nucleotides) under uncultured bacterium. RNAcentral describes it as "partial 16S ribosomal RNA". It matches the Rfam family "Bacterial small subunit ribosomal RNA", at positions 28 to 523 of the family's 1533-position model. The record is from RNAcentral.
GAUGAACGCUAGCGGCAGGCCUAAUACAUGCAAGUCGAGGGGUAGAAGAGGCUUGCUUCUUUGAGACCGGCGCACGGGUGCGUAACGCGUAUGCAACCUACCUUCAUCUGGGGGAUAGCCCGGAGAAAUCCGGAUUAAUACCGCAUAAAAUCACAGGAUGGCAUUAUCCAAUGAUCAAACAUUUAUGGGAUGGAGAUGGGCAUGCGUGUCAUUAGCUAGUUGGCGGGGUAACGGACCACCAAAGCGACGAUGACUAGGGGAUGUGAGAGGAUGGCCCCCCACACUGGUACUGAGACACGGAACAGACUCCUUCGGGAGGCAGCAGUAAGGGAUAUUGGUCAAUGGAGGCAACUCUGAACCAGCCAUGCCGCGUGCAGGAAGACUGCCCUAUGGGUUGUAAACUGCUUUUAUUCGGGAAUAAACCUUAUUACGUGUAAUAAGCUGAAUGUACCGAAGGAAUAAGGAUCGGCUAACUCCGUGCCAGCCGCCGCGGUAA